CGCGGAUGUAGAGACAGAAGAUGACUGCGAAUGGGAGAUGUCUCACACAAAACUCGGCUGAUAAAACGUUGAAGUUAAUUGCGAGGCUAACGUUUAUAACCGUUGGAAUGCGGCGGUGGGUUACGUUGUGUCAGUUUUGUAAUCCAGACCAACAAACUAGUGCCAAACCGUUGUGUGAUCGGGCAAUUGGCUGGUUAACAGCGGCAGCUCUGGCGGGCCAAUCAGAGCGCAGCAGCAGAGGAGCAGUCUGCUAUUAGAGGCACGGCUCAGGAGUCCUUCAACAGAGAGCAGAGAGAGGGGGCCGAGCGCUAUCGGCAGCCAUUUUCCUAAAACGACUCAAUGGCCUAUAUGGGUUUCCUUUGUUCCAAAAGGGAUCUUACACUUGAUUUCCUCAUCUCUCACGGACUAUGAUAAAACUAUGAUACCUCCUUUUAAAGGAUUGAGAAGAAGGAAGAUUAUGUACUGGAUGUAAUACCCUGUGACAUCUUGAGCCUUUUUUCCUCUGCCUGGAAUCCAUCUUUGUCUUAACUAGGUCAUGGCACACCCAUAUAAUAGUAUUUAUAUUUCUUAUGUGAAAAGAAACCAAAUGUUUUGAAUAAACAGCUGUAUGAUAUUUGGAGAUGUUAAGUUAAUGGGAAACACAGUUAAAGUGACCAUGUGUCUGGCAAUGCACUAAUGGCCUUGUGAUAUGCUUAGCAAUAAGUAAGUUCAACUUUUUUUAUCAAAAUUUAAAAGAAGGCUAAUGUAAAAUGUGAGGCAUGCAUUUUCUGUUAUCAAAAGUGUUUCUUCAAUGUAUUAAUUGAGCUAUCAAUUUACUCACAGAAAUGUUGGCAUUUGUAUUAUACAACUUUAUUUAAUAUGUUCACUGGCAUGCUGACAUAUAGAUAAUACAGUCCAGCUUAUAUAGGCUACUGCUCCUCAGAUGACAGAGAGCAGGCCACGGAUAACUAAUGGCCUGUUAAUUAACAGUUUAUUGUGCUGCCUUCAAAUUUGACUGUUACGUUAUUUUAUUUGAUUAAUGACUUUAAACACUUUACUCUCACAACAGCAACGGUUAAAAACCCUGGUGUGUUGCACCCUUCCUUCAGCUGUGGAGACAACUUCAAGCUCGAUUAGGUUUGUGCUGUCCAAUUGCCAUUUAAGAAGCAAAUGCGUCCAAAGUGUAAUCGUCGGCUUGACCUUGCAUCAAGGGUGUAUUUAAAUGUCUUAACAAGCCCAGAAAGGUAGCGUCUUUUUUUUACUUUAAAAAACGCUUUAAAAAAAAAAAAAACUUAAGAGGAAACAGAUGGAGUGAAAACUCUUAUGGUGAAAAUAUUUACCUCAGCACUUUGGUGAAAUGCAGUUAACAGGCCUAAACGCAGGGACAGGAGGAACGUUUUCAGCUCCAUCUUCGGAUCCUCUAAUAAUGGCAUUAAUAAGGGGUGGGAUAGCGUCUCCUGAAAAGGAAGGAAUCCAUUAGCAACGAAAGAUAGAGGAGAGCUCUUUUGAAAACUUUUUGAUCAGUGCUAGGCAUUGCCUCUCGGCCAGCGAAAAUGCAUCUUCAAGCAUCAUCUGUGUGGGCAAUAUGCAAACCAUCUCCUCUCUCUCUCUCUCUCCUUGAAGACAGGAUUGCAGUCAAGUAUAACCUCUUCUAUUUCGACAUUUCUUACAGAGCUACAUCAUGUUUAACCACAAGGAAAUGUUGUUUUUGAAAGGUAAUGGAUUUUGAGCUAUUUCACUUAAUAUGACAGUUUGUAACAUGUCUAACUAAAUGUAGCCUAUGUCAUUAUAUAGGACAGACAACCUGCACAAUAGUUAACUGUGGUUACAACGUUUUCAGCAAAAAUAUAUUUUAUAUACUUUUGUAAAAAAAAGAACUGUAACCCAUAUUUGUUUGAUUAAUUGUAAACUUACAGUUAGAACUCAAAACAUGUAAUCCAAGGCUUAAACGAGCAAAGGAAUGUUAUGGGAGCGAAAUCUGCUAAAUAUAACUGCUUGCCUUUGUCCAAAAACACCUUUUUUGGUGGUAGCCUAUGCAGGCUACACUUGUUCAAUGGUUUCUCUGCUGUUCUCUUGUCUCAAAAUGGCUUCUUUACAGACAAAGGAGAGCGCUGUGCUGUUAAAUGUUGCUGCGCCAUAACUGGGAGAGGCUCGUAGGCUGUACUCAGAGGGAGUUUAGGUUUUUUUCUCGGUGAUGCAACAGGAAGUCUCACAACAUUGUAUAAAGUAGUGUUGUUGUUUUUUUACUAGUGUACUGUAUGUAUAAUAAGAAGUAAAAUAGACUUAAUGGAAGGAAACGUAAUACAAGUGGCGUGAUCAGGCUGUGUGGUUGCCGGGCUGCCUCGCCCUGCCAGCCGCAUGUAAUCCGAGAGCUCUGGACGGUUGCCAUGGGAGCUCGAGCGAGUUGCUGCUCCCCCACACUGCCAUAUAAGGUCAUCAGGAAUCCUCUGCAGCAGUGGAAUAACACGGGGGAGGAGGCUUCCGUACGUGCACUAUGGCUUCAGACAAAGACCGGAGGAUAACGGGCGUUUCAGUGCUACAGAGCAGGACAAACUAACAAACAAAAAAAGCGAUUUUUAUCGUUUAAUCGGCAGAGGAGUUCAACUUAGAAUUGAUGUAUUUAGCUGCGUCACUAAUGUGCCCUUUACGCACUCCAUUCUGGUGCGUGAGCGUGUUUUACGCACUCCCCUUUGGUGUGUCUUAUUUGCUUAUGAGAACACACACUAAUGUAGUACUAGUCGGUGUGUCGGAGGCCUGUUUUUCUUGUUAUCCACUCCUAGCUCGGGGCUGCCAAGUGCGCGCAUUUGCAGGUCACGAGGCUGCAGACAGCAUUCCUCUCUGUCCAACCCUGCUUUCUUUCUACACCCCACCCCCCAGUGCAAAUGGAGACAGAAUAGUGAAGAAGGUUUCAUGUUUGUGUGUAACAAAGGUGAACAUUUUGCGUUGAAAACAGCCAAUGAGGUUAUUUAUAGGCCUUUGUUUAAAAAAAAAAAAAAAAAAACCUCCCUGGUGGGUUGCGCCAUUCAGUUUUGCGCGCCGCUGACAGACUGGAAUAUUCCACACAGAGGAUUGGCCUCUCUUCUGCAGGACAGCUGUCUCUUUGCACGGCGAAAAAAACUACUUUUGACAAUUGAUCUUGGUUUAUUAAUUGAUGAAAAUGGGCUAUACACGUAUGGAUAUUUUACACACCUACAGGACAAUUUAAUACCUUUUUUUAUGUGAGUCAUGUACUGAAUAUCUUAGGCUGCCAGUUUCACCUUGUAAGUCAAACAAGCACUCUUUUUUUUAUCAUUAUUAUUAUUAUUCUACAGUCAUUUGUUAUAGAUUUGACUACACUUGACCGUGUUGUGGCAUAUAGGGCACAUGAGAACGGUUUUAUGUCUAAUCCUGUGGAGUCAGAAUAGCCUGGCAGACUCUUUCUGUCUUUCUUUGUAUGCCCAGCCUUUUAUGGGCUUCUGAUGGAUUGUUGACUGAAUCAAAUCAGGUAUCCUCCGUGCUUUGUGUAUUUUACACUGGCUUAUUCAAGGAUUUUUCAUUCGUGGUACUGUAUUUAAUUAUUUUCAAAUCAUUGUCUUUUCUUCUUUCCAGCUCUUAAUUAUUUGCAUGACUACUGUAUUAUUAGUGUAACCUUCUACAGCAUGCGUUGUAACUUUAAAUGACAAUAUAAUACUAUGUCUGUGAGAUUUUUGAAUAAAUAUAGUAUAACCACUUUUUAUGUUUUAUUGGUGUCAAAACUCAAGCAAGUUGCUGUUAUUUUUAUUAUGCAUAGCAAUUGUUUCCACUUAUUAGGAUUUAAGGCCCAUCUUACAAACAUCAUUUAAGUCAGUCAUGUUAAAUUAGAUACAUAUACUUCUCUAAUGGGCUACACAAAAAUCACCAACCAUACUGCAGGGUGUCUUAACUGUAGGAGCAAAUUCCCAAAUAUAAAGGUGGAAUUCCCUUUCUGGCCGUAAAUGUGUGUUUUCUGGGAAAAUACAUUCAAGAUGACAUGUCUUAUAUUAAUCAAAGUAAAUGGCAGUGUCAGCUCAUCCUCUUAAAGGGACAGCUUGCUAAAAUGUUACCCACUCUUCUCCACCAACUGCAUAUUUUCCCACUCGUGACCAAUGAAAUGUAACCUUUAGAAUUGACUUAAGAGCUUACCUCAGUUUGAGUUUUGAUCAUUAUUGUAUGUGAGAUACAAUUCUCUAUACCAGAUAGCCUACUGAAGAUUAAUUUUAAAUGCAACAUUAUUGUGUUUUCGAGUGUAGGCUAUUUCCCUAUGCUGUGCUUUAUCCUGACACUCUGUAUUUCUGUAAAAGCAAUCAUUGACUUUGCUGAAACAUUCCCAAACCUAAUGUUAAACUAUCUUUUGCAUACAUUGCCCAUGAAUACUCCCAUCAACCAGUUGUAUUUGGUGUCCAGUAGUAACUUAAAGGCAAAUUGACUGGAUGUAUUACAUUACAGCAUGUGUCGUUGCUCAUGAUCAUGAGGUACAUCACAUCUGGCUCAACCAUCUUUUAACCACUGAUAAGGUGUUCUUCCUGCCCUAAAGCAGCCCGUCUGCCUCACACACUCAUUUGAAAAAACAGGAUGUACAUGUUUCUCUUUACAGUAUUGUAACAUAUUGUACGUCUUAAUUGUAUCUCCGAACAAGUUACUUAAUUUUUCUAAUUUAAUUACUUUGAUGCUGGAUAAAGAUGUCCGCUCAUUGCACCCUGGGACGAGACAGAAUAGUAUAUCCUGACGCCCCAAUCUGUGAUGUCACUGCUAUAUUCAGCCAUUCAGACUGAACAGAGAAAUAUGACCGACAUAUUGCUUGUAAAUACCCCUGAGGACA
Long non-coding RNA from Trematomus bernacchii (emerald rockcod), 4795 nucleotides. RefSeq lists it as uncharacterized. The record is from RefSeq and is a predicted model, not a curated record. The transcript has 2 exons. Lineage: Eukaryota; Metazoa; Chordata; Actinopteri; Perciformes; Nototheniidae.